Molecule: ribosomal RNA, 1528 nt
Filed under: Klebsiella pneumoniae UCI 20
Lineage: Bacteria; Pseudomonadati; Pseudomonadota; Gammaproteobacteria; Enterobacterales; Enterobacteriaceae
Description: bacterial SSU rRNA
Rfam family: Bacterial small subunit ribosomal RNA
Source: RNAcentral
AGAGUUUGAUCAUGGCUCAGAUUGAACGCUGGCGGCAGGCCUAACACAUGCAAGUCGAGCGGUAGCACAGAGAGCUUGCUCUCGGGUGACGAGCGGCGGACGGGUGAGUAAUGUCUGGGAAACUGCCUGAUGGAGGGGGAUAACUACUGGAAACGGUAGCUAAUACCGCAUAACGUCGCAAGACCAAAGUGGGGGACCUUCGGGCCUCAUGCCAUCAGAUGUGCCCAGAUGGGAUUAGCUAGUAGGUGGGGUAACGGCUCACCUAGGCGACGAUCCCUAGCUGGUCUGAGAGGAUGACCAGCCACACUGGAACUGAGACACGGUCCAGACUCCUACGGGAGGCAGCAGUGGGGAAUAUUGCACAAUGGGCGCAAGCCUGAUGCAGCCAUGCCGCGUGUGUGAAGAAGGCCUUCGGGUUGUAAAGCACUUUCAGCGGGGAGGAAGGCGAUAAGGUUAAUAACCUUGGCGAUUGACGUUACCCGCAGAAGAAGCACCGGCUAACUCCGUGCCAGCAGCCGCGGUAAUACGGAGGGUGCAAGCGUUAAUCGGAAUUACUGGGCGUAAAGCGCACGCAGGCGGUCUGUCAAGUCGGAUGUGAAAUCCCCGGGCUCAACCUGGGAACUGCAUUCGAAACUGGCAGGCUAGAGUCUUGUAGAGGGGGGUAGAAUUCCAGGUGUAGCGGUGAAAUGCGUAGAGAUCUGGAGGAAUACCGGUGGCGAAGGCGGCCCCCUGGACAAAGACUGACGCUCAGGUGCGAAAGCGUGGGGAGCAAACAGGAUUAGAUACCCUGGUAGUCCACGCCGUAAACGAUGUCGAUUUGGAGGUUGUGCCCUUGAGGCGUGGCUUCCGGAGCUAACGCGUUAAAUCGACCGCCUGGGGAGUACGGCCGCAAGGUUAAAACUCAAAUGAAUUGACGGGGGCCCGCACAAGCGGUGGAGCAUGUGGUUUAAUUCGAUGCAACGCGAAGAACCUUACCUGGUCUUGACAUCCACAGAACUUAGCAGAGAUGGUUUGGUGCCUUCGGGAACUGUGAGACAGGUGCUGCAUGGCUGUCGUCAGCUCGUGUUGUGAAAUGUUGGGUUAAGUCCCGCAACGAGCGCAACCCUUAUCCUUUGUUGCCAGCGGUCCGGCCGGGAACUCAAAGGAGACUGCCAGUGAUAAACUGGAGGAAGGUGGGGAUGACGUCAAGUCAUCAUGGCCCUUACGACCAGGGCUACACACGUGCUACAAUGGCAUAUACAAAGAGAAGCGACCUCGCGAGAGCAAGCGGACCUCAUAAAGUAUGUCGUAGUCCGGAUUGGAGUCUGCAACUCGACUCCAUGAAGUCGGAAUCGCUAGUAAUCGUAGAUCAGAAUGCUACGGUGAAUACGUUCCCGGGCCUUGUACACACCGCCCGUCACACCAUGGGAGUGGGUUGCAAAAGAAGUAGGUAGCUUAACCUUCGGGAGGGCGCUUACCACUUUGUGAUUCAUGACUGGGGUGAAGUCGUAACAAGGUAACCGUAGGGGAACCUGCGGUUGGAUCACCU